AGGCUUGUAGCUCAGCUGGUUAGAGCGCACCCCCGAUAAGGGUGAGGUCGGCAGUUCAAGUCUGCCCAAGCCUACCA
RNAcentral lists this transfer RNA (77 nucleotides) under Alteromonas sp. KC14. RNAcentral's name for it is "tRNA-Ile". Lineage: Bacteria; Pseudomonadati; Pseudomonadota; Gammaproteobacteria; Alteromonadales; Alteromonadaceae. The record is from RNAcentral.